This is a non-coding RNA of Halocaridina rubra (Hawaiian volcano shrimp), 73 nucleotides long. Lineage: Eukaryota; Metazoa; Arthropoda; Malacostraca; Decapoda; Atyidae. The record is from the annotation of a GenBank genome assembly.
GGCCGUUGUUGUGGAGUGGUAACACUUGCGACUUUGACUCGUCAGGUCGUGAGUUCGAGACCUGUAUCGGUUU